AUGCUCACUUUGGCAACACAUAUACUGAAAUUGGAAUAAUACAGGGAAGAUUAGCGUGGCCCCUCUCCAAGGAUGACAAGCAAAUUCAUGAGGCAUUUCAUGUUUUU
Molecule: small nuclear RNA, 107 nt
Organism: Pongo abelii (Sumatran orangutan)
Lineage: Eukaryota; Metazoa; Chordata; Mammalia; Primates; Hominidae
Source: Ensembl